ACCAGCCGCAUUAGCUGGGUAGUCAAGUUUGGAAGGGAUAAAUACUGAAAGCAUAUAAGUAUGAAGCCCCCCUCAAGAUUAGAUAUCCAAUCCUGAAGGUUUUCAGUGCCCUUUGGGGUAUUGAUUUCUGGAGGGAGUAAGACCUCUCCGAGAAGAGGAGGUUGAUAGGCCAGGGGUGUAAGGCCCAUAAGGGUUUUAGCUGACUGGUACUAAUAGGUCGAGGGCUUAACCAC
RNAcentral lists this ribosomal RNA (233 nucleotides) under Candidatus Desantisbacteria bacterium CG_4_9_14_3_um_filter_50_7. Its description in RNAcentral is "partial 23S ribosomal RNA". It matches the Rfam family "Bacterial large subunit ribosomal RNA", at positions 2728 to 2925 of the family's 2925-position model. The record is from RNAcentral. Lineage: Bacteria; Candidatus Desantisiibacteriota.